ACACAUCUGCGGAAAGACAGGAAACUGCUGCUGGUUUUUACAACCAGGAAACAUAAGAAGAAAGAUUCUCAGUUUUUGCACUCUCUUUUUUCCAAUUUAUUUUCGUCUUCAAAACUAAGCUAAAGCAACGCGAGUCCUAAUUACGUUAGGGAUCGACACAAGCGCGUCUUUUUUUUUUUUUGAUAGGAAGCAAGAAGGCCAACUCUAGGCGCACGGGGCAUUUUGUGCAAAAACCAGGAUAUUCAACUACCAGUUAUAUCGAAAGUUGCUCUGCUUGA
This is a non-coding RNA of Caenorhabditis elegans, 278 nucleotides long. Lineage: Eukaryota; Metazoa; Nematoda; Chromadorea; Rhabditida; Rhabditidae. The record is from Ensembl.